This 634-nucleotide ribosomal RNA is filed under the name Oxalobacteraceae bacterium Se2Ps_2399. RNAcentral's name for it is "bacterial SSU rRNA". It matches the Rfam family "Bacterial small subunit ribosomal RNA", at positions 382 to 1009 of the family's 1533-position model. Lineage: Bacteria; Pseudomonadati; Pseudomonadota; Betaproteobacteria; Burkholderiales; Oxalobacteraceae. The record is from RNAcentral.
CCUGAUCCAGCAAUGCCGCGUGAGUGAAGAAGGCCUUCGGGUUGUAAAGCUCUUUUGUCAGGGAAGAAACGGGUGUGGCUAAUAUCCGCGUCUAAUGACGGUACCUGAAGAAUAAGCACCGGCUAACUACGUGCCAGCAGCCGCGGUAAUACGUAGGGUGCAAGCGUUAAUCGGAAUUACUGGGCGUAAAGCGUGCGCAGGCGGUUUUGUAAGUCUGUCGUGAAAUCCCCGGGCUCAACCUGGGAAUGGCGAUGGAGACUGCAUGGCUAGAAUCUGGCAGAGGGGGGUAGAAUUCCACGUGUAGCAAUGAAAUGCGUAGAGAUGUGGAGGAACACCGAUGGCGAAGGCAGCCCCCUGGGUCAGGAUUGACGCUCAUGCACGAAAGCGUGGGGAGCAAACAGGAUUAGAUACCCUGGUAGUCCACGCCCUAAACGAUGUCUACUAUUUGUCGGGUCUUAAUUGACUUGGUAACGCAGCUAACGCGUGAAGUAGACCGCCUGGGGAGUACGGUCGCAAGAUUAAAACUCAGAGGAAUUGACGGGGACCCGCACAAGCGGUGGAUGAUGUGGAUUAAUUCGAUGCAACGCGAAAAACCUUACCUACCCUUGACAUGGAAGGAAUCCUCGAGAGAUUG